GAUGAACGCUGGCGGCGUGCCUAAUACAUGCAAGUCGAGCGAACAGACGAGGAGCUUGCUCCUCUGACGUUAGCGGCGGACGGGUGAGUAACACGUGGAUAACCUACCUAUAAGACUGGGAUAACUUCGGGACACCGGAGCUAAUACCGGAUAAUAUAUUGAACCCCAUGGUUCAAUAGUGAAAGACGGUUUUGCUGUCACUUAUAGAUGGAUCCGCGCCGCAUUAGCUAGUUGGUAAGGUAACGGCUUACCAAGGCAACGAUGCGUAGCCGACCUGAGAGGGUGAUCGGCCACACUGGAACUGAGACACGGUCCAGACUCCUACGGGAGGCAGCAGUAGGGAAUCUUCCGCAAUGGGCGAAAGCCUGACGGAGCAACGCCGCGUGAGUGAUGAAGGUCUUCGGAUCGUAAAACUCUGUUAUUAGGGAAGAACAAAUGUGUAAGUAACUAUGCACGUCUUGACGGUACCUAAUCAGAAAGCCACGGCUAACUACGUG
Molecule: ribosomal RNA, 497 nt
Filed under: uncultured bacterium
Lineage: Bacteria
Description: partial 16S ribosomal RNA
Rfam family: Bacterial small subunit ribosomal RNA
Source: RNAcentral